UUCAGUGAGCUAAUAAUACUAUAAAGUAACCUUACAAUGCAGUGUGUUUGAUGCCUUAGUUCCCAAACUAUUCCCAUAAUCAGCUGUUUAUUGAUAACUUAAACGUAUUUAAACAAAUCACCUUCAGAAUAUAUCUGUAAAAGAGUACAUUGGCUCAACAAUAAUGACCUUAUUCCUAGAGUAAGGGAAGCUCACAAAUGAUCAGUGAGAGAAGACUCUAGGGUUAUCCAACCCUUAUAAUAAAACAUGAUAAAGCAAAAUUUAGGUUUAGUAAGCCAUGGCAGUUGGUCUCAAUUUGUCCAUCUAAUUGGGCAAUUUACCACCAAAUGUUAGAAUUCAUAGAACAUAAAUUGUCAGUUCACAUUGGAAAAGAUUUAGCAAGAUUACAUUGUGUGUGCAGUGGAAGAACAAAGUAAAUCUGUAACUACACAAUAAUGUCCAUCUCUGGCUUGCUUGCAGAGUCUCUUCACUGAAAUUGAGGUUGGAAAUUCAAUUGUGCAAAGCUGAAUAGGCUAAGAUAUGUUAUCCAGAAAAGUGUUCAGUGCCUCUAUUUGGUUGUUGUGACUUGUAUCUUGUAAAUAUCAUUUCUAUUGGAGUAGCGACCAAAAGCCUCCGGCAGGAACAGUGUUCCAUUAUGCUAGGUACUGCCCUGAAGAAUUUACAGUCUAAAAGGAAAUUAAUGAAGGGAUAGGGCAAGACGUCAGGAUGAUGGCAAGUUGAUUUUUAUUUUUAUAUAUAUAUAAGGUUAUACCCACCUUUCCAUUGCUGAGGUAUCAAAACAGUUUUAUGGCUUUGUGCUAGUUCUGCAGUGGGCAUUGUAUGCCAGCAUUACAUGAUAAGCAAACAAAGAUGUUUUGGUAUGGCAUGGCAGUGUACACUGUAAAUUGAUGUAUUAAACUGUUCUUUUUGAAACAUGGGGGAAAAAAUUUUCAAUUUAAAAAUGAAUAAAAUUUAUAAUUCUACUUAAACUUCUCAAGUAGUCAUUUUAAACAACAGUAAGUAAAGAACAAGCACUGGCAAGUUAUACUAAUAUUAGCUGCUAAACAUGGAUAUCUUGUACAAUUCCAUACAAUACGUAUAUCUAAAAAUUGUAUUUAAGAAUCCCAGCUCACAAUGUGGACAUUAAGCACUUCUUUUAUACUAUCAUAUGUAGAAAUGAAGUAUAUUACGGGGUGGGAAACAACUAAGGACACUGCCAAAUGUGUACCUUUCUUUUUGUAGCUUCAAUUUUUUUAUUUAAAAAUUGAUGCUGUGCACACAGGAAAGAAUUUGCUCAUGUGAUAAUAAUUCAGUGAACAUUUAUUCUAUAUUAUUCAUGCUGAACGCUUUUGUAAGUAAAUUUUCAGAGGUGUUAAAAUACCUUUCCACUUUAACCUCUUUGCUUGUAUCUGACAAGUUUCCUGCUCCCCUUCCUUCUCUCCUUAGAAGAAUUACCAGGAGUGCUGUGAUACAUAGCCUGCUGUAUUCCAGGAAUUUAGAGGGAAGCAUGUUAAGCACUUCAAAUGCUAGGCUUUACAGGCUCUUGUUCUUGUUCUUCCCAGUGGACACUUGCAUGCAUCUGGUAAAUAAAGGCAGAUUCUUUAUUAGGAUUGGCAGAAAAGAAGGGAUGCAAAGACUCUACACUGAAACCUAAGCGGUUUGGUACAGAAGAAAGGUACUGAAAAUUUCCAGGCUAUUUCCCUAAGGGGCAAUCAUAUAGGAAGUUACAAGGCUAGUAUCGGAGUCCUUAUGUCUAGUUCCAAAGGUUCUUCAAAGUUACCUUCUUUGGGAAGGGAAAUCUUCUUAGCCUUUGGUUGCAUGGGCUGCUGUUGGCUCGAACAUUGAUGCUUGUGGCAUCUCCUAGUGCAGUGGUUCUCAAAGUCAUUUAAUCAUGUCCCCUUCUUUGUGUCGAUAGUAGUUUACACUCCCAUCUUUCCAGCCAGCAGCUCAUGCUCUCCGGUCACCUGUUUCUGAGGGCAGAGCAGAGGAUGCUGACUGGGUGCUGUCCUCUAAAGGCAGCGCAGUUGCCAGCAGCAGCACAGAAGUACGGGUGGCAUGGUAUUGUAUUGCCACCCUUACUUCUCUGCUGCUGGUGGCAGCGAUGCUGCCUUCAGAGAUUGGUGGCUGGAGAACAGCAGCUAUGCCAGGCACCCAGCUCUGAAUGUGUGCGGUAAAUUCCUCCCCCUCCCCCAAAGCUUGCUUAUGCCCCCCAGAAUACAUUCUGCACCCCUCAUGAGGGCGCACCCUGUUUAAGAACCUCUAUUCUGGUGUUUGCAUUAGAGAAGCCCCUCAUGUUGCCUCCUUGCUGAAUUUGCGAGCUGUAGCUUCUGCUUCUUAAGGCAACAAUCUGCAAGGCCUUCUGGCAUCUCUAGGUGGUUCUUCUCACAUCAUAUUCUCUGCACUUCUGCAGUUGGCCCAGAUCCCAGGAACACUGGACAAACUGCUCUUUCCCGUGUGCCAAGUCUGCCAGUUGCAAUAUUUACUCCUCAGUGGCUGCCUGCAUAUGCUGCCUCUUUGAGUUCUCCCUUUUUCAAAUGUGCACUUUCCCCAGCUCUAGAUGAGAUUCUGCUGCUGGGUUCCUCUCUCCAGGUUCUAUCUUUGGCCAGCUUUAAAGCAGCUGCAUAUUUAUCUGGCUGCUCUCAUAUGCUCCCUUACUCUCCCCACCCCUUUAUUCUUUAUCCGCAUGUCCCAAGGAUUCUACUUCGUUGUAUUGAUCACUCUGGAUCACACAGUAUCAUCUAUUUAGCUAUAUGUCUAUUAGUCCUUGCCCUUACUAUGGUGAGUUGUUUCCAAUCCUUUCCAUCAAGGUAAUGGGAUGCUAAUAAUUAACUGGGUGGGGAGAAGUGUUUCAGACAGUUUUUGUUGUAACUAUCCAGAGUUUUUUGUUUUGAAAUACAUGUCAAGGACAUCCAGAGUUUUGGAUGGGUGCCUUUUGUGUAGAUUUUAACAUCUAAUUCAAAAUAAAUGCACCCUUUGAUGCUAUGAAUUCAUAAUCAUCAAGACCUACUAUAAUAUUAUUGUCAGAGUAACACUAAUAUUUUAUUUAAAAAAACAACAACAACACCCUAAUACUCUACAAAGAAAUGUAAUCUUUGCAAUCACUCAACAUCUGAACUAGUGGUUUACAAUGUCAGGAAACCUCUCAAUGGAAUUAUAUUUUUCUACAUGCAAGAGUAAGGACAUGGAACAUGAGUGUGGUAAUGACUGAAGUGGGAACUAAAGACUGAUGGACAGGGAAGCCCAGCAGCCCCCUUCUGAUGUGGGGUGGACUGUGCUUUUUUCUUAUGGCAUUCCCCUUGAUUCUCUUCUGUGACGAUUAUUUUAGAUCUGUCCUUUCCUUGACUUCAUUCCAGGAGGGUUAGUGUAACUUACACCUUCUUCUAGUCCUCUCUGGAUGAAAGUUAAAAUGGUAGUCUUCCUGUAAGUGCUUACUUAAAGACUUGGUAUCUUACACCCCUUAAAACAUCACAGCUGAAUUGUACAUGCUGUUAUGUAUUUAAAUUUUUGUAAAUUAAGUGGUGAGGUGUGUGUAAGAGGAUUUUUAGUUGCUUUUCUUGCUACUUAUGGCUCUCUUCAGACCUGAAGGGUGCAAAGUGAAUGUAAUUCUAUAGCAACCUUCCUGCUAUAUAUUUACUCAUCAGCCUUUAUCAUUGUAGGUGAAUGAAAUUGUUUAAAUGCUCUAAAGACAUAACUACUUUAAUUGAAAAAAUGUAUAAAGUUUCACAGAUACUUCUGUCAGUAUGAAGUUUUAUAACACUGUUCAUCUUACAGUAAUGAAACUUUGGACAUAAACUACCUCCCAGUGUGUUUGAUCAUGCUCUUGUCUUCUGUUAUAUUUAGGAGGAGGGAUGAAGGGCAGUGGUGGCAUGCUGUCUAGCUUGUUAAGUCAUAUUUAUACUGAAUUUUGCUUAGAAAAUCUUUAUUCCAGCUUUGGCAUUGUUAAUUCUGGAUUCUCGGGGCUUGUAGGUAUUGUCUGUAUCUUCUUUUUGUAUCAAGAAUGCCCUCUAUGUUAUUCAUUGUCAUGAUUAUCAGUGUCUUCUGUAUGUUCACAGUACAUACUUGGUCCCUUGCUUGAAAGCAUGUUGUCCACGGAGAUAUACUCCCUAAACUGCCUGAAGAUAUUGUGGAAAGAAGCUGCUUGGUUUAUUUAGUACAUGUUUAAACACAGAACAAGGAACUUGCUCUGAUUAUUACCUGGUAUAAAUCAAAGACAUGCAAGUGUAAUGGCAAAGGUUACAAUGUUAGGUCCAUUGUUGUGGAGAGCUAAUGCUACUUAAAAUGGCUAAGUAGUCUAUAGGUCUAUCCGAUGAUGCCUUCAGAAAUUGAACUGUACCAGAAAAUAUCUUCAACAGUUUGGUUUGUGAAUAUUUGUUUGUGCCUAUUUCUAGUGGCUGAGCAUGAAGGUGGAAUGUAUCCAGACGGAUGUUGCCUGGUAUCCCGAGACUUAUGUAGUUUUGUUUCCCUACAAAUUACUGAUGCACAAGACAAAUUUUACUUCUGUCAUCUGAUCUUAUUGUGUUGAGAAAUUAUGAUUUCUUAGAAUGACGUUACAGGUUGUUCCAGUUUUUUUUUUUUUUUAAAUCAUUGACUUGACAGAAGCAUGAAAGGAUUUCAUUCCACAAUUCAUCAGGGUAACUGCUGAAACUUCUUGCAAUUUAUUAAGGAUGUGGUGCAGAUUGCUCAUUUUGUUUCCAACUGCUUUCAGUAACUUGAACAAAAACAUUUAUGAAGCAGAAUUAUAAAAACAUUUUCUUGCCAGUGUGCAUCUUGAUUCAGUUUUUUAACACAAGAAAUUUUAUGUAACAAAAGGCAUUGCUUGUGGUAAGCAUUGUUACUGCUCUCACACUUCAUGCUUUUUAGAAAAAACCCUCCUAGCUAGGGUGAGAAGUUUACUGUGGGUUACCACUACAUCUGGGGUGUGUGUGUGUGUGUGUGUGUGGAAACUGGAGGGGAGGCUUCUGAUAAUGCACUGGAGUACGGUGGAGAAGGGAGUGGAUGAGCAUAGGUUCAACAGGACUGAGAAAAGCAAACUGCUCAGUAGAUUAGGUGACUGGGGCCCAGAGGGGAAGCUGAGAGGAAGCAAUGGAGGAAGAGAAUGGGGUUGGAGACAGUUCUCUUGAAGGGACUUGUUCCUGCUUCCUUUCUUUUCAAUGUCCAGAUAGCUCCUGGGCUCCCUUUUCUUGUGCUUCCUUGUUUCAGAACUCCUGUUCUUUGUUCAUCCUCUUCUUCCUCAAAUGGCUCCUGCCGGUACUUUCUUGUUCAUCCCCAAUCUAAAUAGGUGGGAAGACAUGUAGAAUUGAGUUCUGGGUUGUGUAUGUGUGUUUUUAUGAAUGUGUGGAGGUGGUAAUUUUACUUUGAAUGGGGGUGUGACAAUGCGGUUCUGGCGGAACCCAACUGAGAGUGCCAACUCAGGACAAAUUGCUAAAACAGGGCAG
Long non-coding RNA from Trachemys scripta elegans, 5414 nucleotides. RefSeq lists it as uncharacterized. The record is from RefSeq and is a predicted model, not a curated record. The transcript is spliced from 3 exons. Lineage: Eukaryota; Metazoa; Chordata; Testudines; Emydidae.